UUAGUGGCGGACGGGUGAGUAACGCGUGGGUAACCUGCCUUACACAGGGGGAUAACACUUAGAAAUAGGUGCUAAAACCGCAUAAGCGCACAGCUUCGCAUGAAGCGGUGUGAAAAACUCCGGUGGUGUAAGAUGGACCCGCGUCUGAUUAGCUUGUUGGCGGGGUAACGGCCCACCAAGGCGACGAUCAGUAGCCGGCCUGAGAGGGCGGACGGCCACAUUGGGACUGAGACACGGCCCAGACUCCUACGGGAGGCAGCAG
RNAcentral lists this ribosomal RNA (262 nucleotides) under uncultured bacterium. RNAcentral's name for it is "partial 16S ribosomal RNA". It matches the Rfam family "Bacterial small subunit ribosomal RNA", at positions 92 to 354 of the family's 1533-position model. The record is from RNAcentral.